Molecule: ribosomal RNA, 372 nt
Filed under: uncultured organism
Description: bacterial SSU rRNA
Rfam family: Bacterial small subunit ribosomal RNA
Source: RNAcentral
CAGAGGGGGCAAGCGUUAUUCGGAAUUAUUGGGCGUAAAGGGCGCGUAGGCGGCUUUUCAAGUGACGGGUGAAAUCCCUCGGCUUAACCGAGGAACUGCCUGUCAGACUGGAAGGCUUGAGACCGGGAGAGGUGAGUGGAAUUCCCAGUGUAGCGGUGAAAUGCGUAGAUAUUGGGAGGAACACCAGUGGCGAAGGCGGCUCACUGGACCGGUACCGACGCUGAGGCGCGAAAGCGUGGGGAGCAAACAGGAUUAGAUACCCUGGUAGUCCACGCCGUAAACGAUGAGUGCUUGGUGUAGCGGGUAUCGACCCCUGCUGUGCCGACGUCAACACAUUAAGCACUCCGCCUGGGGAGUACGGUCGCAAGACUG